GGUCAGAGGUGGAAGCGUGGCGACAUGUGGAGCUGACUGAUACUAAUCGAUCGAGGACUUAACCACA
RNAcentral lists this ribosomal RNA (67 nucleotides) under Bacillus canaveralius. RNAcentral's name for it is "partial 23S ribosomal RNA". The record is from RNAcentral. Lineage: Bacteria; Bacillati; Bacillota; Bacilli; Caryophanales; Bacillaceae.